CCGCGGUAAUACGAAGGGGGCUAGCGUUGUUCGGAAUUACUGGGCGUAAAGCGCACGUAGGCGGUUUUCCAAGUUGGAGGUGAAAUCCCCGGGCUUAACCCGGGAACUGCCUCCAAAACUGGGACACUCGAGUCCGAGAGAGGUGAGUGGAAUUUCCUGUGUAGCGGUGAAAUGCGUAGAUAUAGGAAGGAACACCAGUGGCGAAGGCGACCACCUGGGCUAAUACUGACACUGAGGUGCGAAAGCGUGGGGAGCAAACAGG
Molecule: ribosomal RNA, 262 nt
Filed under: uncultured bacterium
Lineage: Bacteria
Description: partial 16S ribosomal RNA
Rfam family: Bacterial small subunit ribosomal RNA
Source: RNAcentral